UCAGAUUGGGUUGAAUUUACUCCAUAUGAGAUCGGCAUGGCAAAAUAUGGUACUUUCAUGACUCCUGACUUAUUUGGAAGCAAAUUUUUUAUGGGGAAAGUUGUAAAGAAAUAUGAAGAAAACCCCUUGCAUUUCUUAAUGGGUGUCUGGGGCAGUGCCUUUUCUAUAUUGUUCAACAGAGUCUUGGGAGUUUCCAGCUCACAAAAUAAGGGUUCCACAAUGGAGGAAGAAUUAG
Myotis brandtii (Brandt's bat) is the source of this 235-nucleotide long non-coding RNA. RefSeq lists it as uncharacterized. The record is from RefSeq and is a predicted model, not a curated record. The transcript is spliced from 2 exons. NCBI's taxonomy places the organism in Eukaryota, Metazoa, Chordata, Mammalia, Chiroptera, Vespertilionidae.